GUGGGGAUUCGUCCCCAUUGAGAUAGCACCCUUUGUUUAUGAGUACCCUUGUUUCCUCGGCGGGCUUGCCCGCCAGUAGGACAAUAAAAACCCUUUGUAGUAGCAGUAACUUCAGUUAAAAAUAAAUUUUAAAACUUUCAACAACGGAUCUCUUGGUUCU
Molecule: unclassified non-coding RNA, 160 nt
Filed under: rhizosphere metagenome
Description: partial ribosomal RNA internal transcribed spacer region
Source: RNAcentral